GACGGAGCUCGGUGUAGCAUGAGAGCAGUGGAGAAGCUGCCAGGCCAGCCAGACAAGACACCUGGACAGGGAGAAAAAGUUGCUGCUUCCCUCCUUACAACUUGGCGAUUGUUAUCUGGAACAGUAAAAGACAUUAAAGCACAGUUUGAGGACAUUAGAAUGCUACUAGAUACCAUCAUACAGAGAAAUCGUG
Molecule: long non-coding RNA, 193 nt
Organism: Chiroxiphia lanceolata (lance-tailed manakin)
Lineage: Eukaryota; Metazoa; Chordata; Aves; Passeriformes; Pipridae
Exons: 2
Source: RefSeq, a predicted model, not a curated record